GUCCUCAUAGCUCAGCAGGAUAGAGCGCAAAAUUCCUAAUUUUGAGGCCAGAGGUUCGAAUCCUCUUGGGGACGCCA
RNAcentral lists this transfer RNA (77 nucleotides) under Campylobacter corcagiensis. Its description in RNAcentral is "tRNA-Arg". It matches the Rfam family "tRNA". From Rfam's summary of the family: Transfer RNA (tRNA) molecules are approximately 80 nucleotides in length. Their secondary structure includes four short double-helical elements and three loops (D, anti-codon, and T loops). The record is from RNAcentral. Lineage: Bacteria; Pseudomonadati; Campylobacterota; Epsilonproteobacteria; Campylobacterales; Campylobacteraceae.